RNAcentral lists this ribosomal RNA (400 nucleotides) under uncultured bacterium. RNAcentral's name for it is "bacterial SSU rRNA". It matches the Rfam family "Bacterial small subunit ribosomal RNA", at positions 125 to 498 of the family's 1533-position model. The record is from RNAcentral.
CCGGCCGCGUCGACCACACGGAUAGCAUACCGAAAGGUAUGACUAAGUACGGGAUAACAUUAGAGGAAUUCGCAUUCGUUUUCCAUNUACAAAGCUCUUGGCGUACGAGGAUCGGACCCGCGUCUGUAUUAGCUAGUUGGUGAGGUAACGGCUCAACCGAAGGCGACGAUCAGUAGCCCGACCUGAGGAGGGUGAGUCCGGCCACUAGUUAGGAACUGAGACACGGUCCGACUCCGUACGGGAGCAGCAGGUAGGGAAUUGUGACAGUGGGGCAACCCUGAUCCAGCCAUGCCGCGUGUGUGAAGAAGGCCUUUUGGUUGUAAAGCACUUUAAGCAGGGAGGAGAGGCUAAUGGUUAAUACCCAUUAGAUUAGACGUUACCUGCAGAAUAAGCACCGGCU